This is a long non-coding RNA of Agrilus planipennis (emerald ash borer), 566 nucleotides long. RefSeq lists it as uncharacterized. Lineage: Eukaryota; Metazoa; Arthropoda; Insecta; Coleoptera; Buprestidae. The record is from RefSeq and is a predicted model, not a curated record. The transcript is spliced from 4 exons.
UUUGCUUUUAGUAUAGAAUUGGAAUGUUUGAAUAUUCACAAAUGUUAAUUAUUUCUGCAUGUUGUACUAUCAUGUAAAUUCAGUUUGCCAGUCUUAUUUUAAACUUCAAAUGAUGUGAAGAACGCUCUACCACAAAAAUAGCUUAUUUAUUUAAACCCACUGUGAAAUAUUAACGGAUAGAACGUAAUUCACCAGCCUGAUAACAAUUCAGAGGAUAGUAGCAGGGUUGUCUUAAAAUUUCAGGAAACCACCAGGGGUAGUAAUAGGAUGUGAUUUCAUUCAAAGAGGAAGGUUAGCGCUAUCUAAUCAAAGUGAUAUUUCCGAACCUAACAAAAAUCUUGAAGGAAGUGGAAAAAACUCGACAGGCGGCGUGAGUGUUGAACUGUCCCCAGAAAAUUGUACUGAUAGCAAAAAGUAUGCCUUGACUGAAAGUGAAGGUUCAAGUUAAAAGGAUAGAGGUCACAUUUGAAAGGUGUCUGACUAAACAAGUUCUCAGAUUUCUCCAAUACGAAGAAAAAGGACGGUAUGAAAAAGCAGCUCAAAAAAAUCGGUUGUCUGUAAAGUCG